RNAcentral lists this long non-coding RNA (1893 nucleotides) under Mytilus galloprovincialis (Mediterranean mussel). Lineage: Eukaryota; Metazoa; Mollusca; Bivalvia; Mytilida; Mytilidae. The record is from RNAcentral.
GCUUCACAGUCGGGAACUCUAGAUCCAAUACCAGGAAUUGGUAAACUUUAUGUCAAGAAGACAAAUUUGUUUGCGGUGACGAUGUGCUUGAAUAACAAACAUCAGAACACAUCACCAUGAUCACUGUGUAAAAGACAACAUUUUGUCAUUUAAAUGUUAUUUCACCGAUGAAAGGAUUUUAAGUAAAAGCUCAGCCUCAAAUGCGACCUAACUGAUUUAAAAAAAAAUGAAAAUGCAGAGGCAUUUUAUUUGUAAGUAGAGCAUAUCGUGAUGGUGACAAAAAAAAAGGACACUACAUGAAAGGUAAGUGCACUUAAUAUUUAGAAGCAUUAAAAAAUAAACACAAAUAAGAAAGAGAAUUUAAGGGAACUAAAGGUGAGAACGACUCACAUCAGUCGACACAAUAGCAUCUCUCCAAUAAAAUGUUCAGUUGUUAUAAUUAUUCUGCCCAGUAUCUGUCUCUUCUCUUGAAAAGAUAUAUGCGCAUCGGAGAAUAAGCUGUAAGGAUCGACAAUUGUAAUGAUGUCAUAAUACGAAUGAAUAGCUUAACGAAUUAGUGUUUCGAAUUGAAAAAUGUUUGUUCACAAAUCGUAGUAAUUAUUUUACGGGAUACUUAUUCGAUUAUAAAGAGGCAGUCGUAUAAAACUCUAAGGUGAACAUGGUGAAUUUGAGAAGGAGUAGGUUAAUAAAACAUAAAAAAAUAAAACGCCCGAUUUGUCAAACAAUAGAACGAAUGGCAAACAAAUGUCAUGAACGACUUUAUGCAAGCAUAUCGAGAAGAAAAUGAGUGGUUAACGCUAGUAAAAAAAUUAUGAUCUUAACCUCUUAUUUGUAUGACAGUUUUUAAUAGUUAAGUCAUAUUGAAAAUAUUGGGCGAGAAACCCCGAAACGUGACAAUUAUUGGGCAUCCAAAGUUAUUUAAACAUACAUCACUGAAUGCAAACACAACUGAUUCAAAGAUUCAGACACACAUCUAAACAAUCUGACAAAGAUGACAAUAGAAACAGAUCGUAAUUGAUAGUACAUAGUUUAUAGUAAAACAUAAUGUAUACACACUUUCUUAAUAAAGUACAUAUUAAUUAAAACGUGAAUAAGUAAUCAAAAUGAAGGUAACACUAAUUACAUCUCAUUUUUCCGAGUCACUUCAACAUGUUUAAGCAUGACAAGAAUUUAACAACUAAAAAGUACACAAUAAUACAAGGACAAAUAAACUAAAAACUGAAAAAGAAAAAAUAUACCCCAUGUCAGCACGUAAGACCUAUACCUCAAGAUUAUAAGUAGACACUGAAUAUUUAUCUUUGAGGUUCUUUGAACUUUCAGAUGAACUUCAACAAAAAGAAGAGACGCUCUUUGACAAAUCCUAGUCAUCCAUGAUGGUUUAUAAAAGUUAAAGUAGCAAUUGCAAGCUCUUGAAUUUCUCAUGAGCUGAGAAAUGUAUACUAUAUAUGCGGUUCGUGUUGAAUUAUUACUGCUUAGAAGAGUUAAAGUAAUAAUUUCAAGAUUAACAUGUUAUAAGAGUUGUCAUAUCCCGCGCUUUUUCUGUUGUCUUCAUUCUCCAUUAUCUUUUUGUUUGUAAAAGACAAGUUUUUUCUUUCUUGUCGAGAUCUUGUAUGAUUGAACAACAUUAUAAUAUUUUUUUCCUUGAAACUUAAUGGCUUUAUAAUUCGUUGACCAUUCAGUUAUAACAAACAAAAAACACCAGAUACUAGCAGAACACGAACAGCAUUAGUUGAAUAGACACAAAUACGAAUAAACUUCAUAAUGAAGAUGUUUGCAAAACUUAAUCUAGAGGAAAAGAUAACACAAAAGGAUAUAUAGAUGGUCAGAUUGUGAAACAUGUCUUCGGUGAACGAUUGACAAGUGCCAGCAUAUUUUUGUAGAUUUUAUGGGGGC